UACGGAGGGGGCUAGCGUUGUUCGGAAUUACUGGGCGUAAAGCGCACGUAGGCGGCUUUGUAAGUUAGAGGUGAAAGCCCAGGGCUUAACCCUGGAAUUGCCUUUAAGACUGCAUCGCUAGAAUUGUGGAGAGGUGAGUGGAAUUCCGAGUGUAGAGGUGAAAUUCGUAGAUAUUCGGAAGAACACCAGUGGCGAAGGCGGCUCACUGGUCCGGUACUGACGCUGAGGUGCGAAAGCGUGGGGAGCAAACAGG
This 253-nucleotide ribosomal RNA is filed under the name uncultured bacterium. Its description in RNAcentral is "partial 16S ribosomal RNA". It matches the Rfam family "Bacterial small subunit ribosomal RNA", at positions 524 to 776 of the family's 1533-position model. The record is from RNAcentral.